AUAAUUAAACUACAAAACUAAAAUCCAGAACUUAAGUAGAUGCAUCUUUAAUAGAAGAACAAUAAAGUAAAAUUAGCUUACAAAUUCUUAGGACUAUUUUUCUGAAAUGUCCUUAAUAUUUAAACUAAAAAACUAAAAUUCAGGACCUAAUUAGAUGCAUCUUUAAUAGAAGAACAAUUAACUAAAAUUAGCUUAAAAAUUCUUAGGACUAUUUUUCUAAAAUGUCCUUAAUAUUUAAACUAAAAAAUUAAAAUCUAGGACCUAAUUAGAUGCAUCUUUAAUAGAAGCACAAUUAACUAAACUUAGCUUACAAAUUCUUAGGACUAUUUUUCUGAAAUGUCCUUAAUAUUUAAACUAAAAAAUUAAAAUCAAGGACCUAAUUAGAUGCAUCUUUAAUAGAAGUACAAUUAACUAAAAUUAGCUUACAAAUUCGUAGGACUAUUUUUCUGAAAUGUCCUUAAUAUUUAAACUAAAAAACUAAAAUUCAGGACCUAAUUAGAUGCAUCUUUAAUAGAAGCACAGUUAACUAAAAUUCCUAAACAUAGUUAGCUUAUAAAUUUUUAGGACUAUUUUUCUGAAAUGUCCUUACAUAAUCAAUAUAUUGAUUGAACCACAAACACAUUUCAAUACCAAAAGGUUCUCAAUAACUUUCUCACAAAAAUCUGUACCUUAUUCCUCAGUGAAUCAAGUUAUAAUCAUUAUUUUGGAUAUUUCACACAUACUUGAUAACAAAUAUAGCAUUGAUCACGAUUAGAGAUAUACAAAAAGAAAAAUGCAUAAAAGCAAAAUCGAAAAUAUACCAGUACGUUGGUUCGUUGCAGAGAAGAUGACAA
Molecule: long non-coding RNA, 833 nt
Filed under: Nicotiana tabacum (common tobacco)
Lineage: Eukaryota; Viridiplantae; Streptophyta; Magnoliopsida; Solanales; Solanaceae
Description: long non-coding RNA (NTAB_LNC016419)
Source: RNAcentral